GACAGGGGUCUCGAGCGUUAAUCGGAAUUACUGGGCUUAAAGGGUGCGUAGGCCGGCCCGCAAGUGACUUGUGAAAUCCCCCGGCUCAACCGGGGAACAGCUCGUCAUACUGCGGGUCUUGAGGAAGGUAGGGGUUGCCAGAACUGUAGGUGGAGCGGUGAAAUGCGUAGAUAUCGGAAGGAACGCCGGUGGCGAAAGCGACGUGCUGGACCCCCCCUGACGCUGAGGCGCGAAAGCCAGGGGAGCAAACGGG
RNAcentral lists this ribosomal RNA (253 nucleotides) under uncultured bacterium. RNAcentral describes it as "partial 16S ribosomal RNA". It matches the Rfam family "Bacterial small subunit ribosomal RNA", at positions 524 to 776 of the family's 1533-position model. The record is from RNAcentral.